UAAAGAUUGCUUUUAUAGAUUUAAAAUUUGAUUAUGAUUUGUAAUUAGUUAAAAUAAUAUUAUUUAAGUUUAAUUUAUUUAGUGGGCAAUGUAUAUUUACCCCGGUAAUUAGUUAUUUGUAUAAUACUUGUUCCAGAAUAAUCGGCUAGGCUAGUAAAAAUUUAUACUUUAUUUUGUUUUAAUUGCAAUUUUCGUUAAUAUUUUUAAUAAUUAUAGGUUAAAUUUUAAUUAAUUUUAGUAUAUUGUUGUAAUUUUAAGUUUUGAUAAACGAAUUAGAUUAGUACCUAAUUAGUCAAAAAUUAAAAAAGCAGGAGUAAAGUGGUAUUUAAACUGAAAGAAUAUUGGCAGAUUUUCUAAAUUAUCUUUGGAGGUUGAGUAAUAAUUGAGAACCCUCAUUAACUACUUUAGUUUUAGUCUCAUGUAUGAUCGUUUAUUUUAUACUUAAGGUAUAUAAUAAAAAAUUUUUAUUUAAUAAAAUAGAUAUAUAUUUGGUUUAUGUAAAAGUAAUAUUUGACCUACAAUAGGUUAAGCUGUGGAUUCAUAAUGUAGUUUUAUGAUUAAAAUGUAAAAGACAGUAAAAAAAUCUUUAUGUUUUUUUGAAGAUUAUUUAGAUGUGGUACAAAUCAUCCAUCAAUUGCCUAUAGGGGAGUAAGUUGUAGUAAAGUAGAUUUAGGGGAACCUUAAUCUAGUAAAU
This 694-nucleotide non-coding RNA is filed under the name Cloacina communis. The record is from RNAcentral. Lineage: Eukaryota; Metazoa; Nematoda; Chromadorea; Rhabditida; Strongylidae.